GCCUAGCUAGCUCAAUCGGCUUAGAGCGUGAGACUUUUAUUACAAGAGUGAUCUCAAGGUUGCGGGUUCGAGUCCCGCGUUGGGCU
Transfer RNA from Candida albicans SC5314, 86 nucleotides. It matches the Rfam family "tRNA". From Rfam's summary of the family: Transfer RNA (tRNA) molecules are approximately 80 nucleotides in length. Their secondary structure includes four short double-helical elements and three loops (D, anti-codon, and T loops). Further hydrogen bonds mediate the characteristic L-shaped molecular structure. tRNAs have two regions of fundamental functional importance: the anti-codon, which is responsible for specific mRNA codon recognition, and the 3' end, to which the tRNAs corresponding amino acid is attached (by aminoacyl-tRNA synthetases). tRNAs cope with the degeneracy of the genetic code in two manners: having more than one tRNA (with a specific anti-codon) for a particular amino acid; and 'wobble' base-pairing, i.e. permitting non-standard base-pairing at the 3rd anti-codon position. The record is from Rfam. Lineage: Eukaryota; Fungi; Ascomycota; Pichiomycetes; Serinales; Debaryomycetaceae.